RNAcentral lists this ribosomal RNA (251 nucleotides) under uncultured prokaryote. Its description in RNAcentral is "partial 16S rRNA". It matches the Rfam family "Bacterial small subunit ribosomal RNA", at positions 525 to 775 of the family's 1533-position model. The record is from RNAcentral.
ACGUAGGGGGCAAGCGUUGUCCGGAUUUACUGGGUGUAAAGGGUGCUCAGGCGGAUAUGUAAGUCAGAGGUGAAAUCUCACAGCUUAACUGUGAAACUGCCGUUGAUACUGCAAGUCUAGAGUAUGGAAGAGAGUGAUGGAAUGUCUGGUGUAGCAGUGAAAUGCUUAGAUAUUAGACAGAACACCGAUGGCGAAGGCAGUUUCCUGGGCCAUUACUGACGCUAAAGCACGAAAGCGUGGGGAGCGAACAG